GCAUUGAAACACCAGUCCCCAUAUGGUCACCAAAGUUAAGCAAUGUUGAGCCUUGUCAGUACCUAGAUAGGUGACCACUUGGGAAUACCAGCUGCUGUAA
This is a non-coding RNA of Acanthosepion pharaonis, 100 nucleotides long. The record is from the annotation of a GenBank genome assembly. NCBI's taxonomy places the organism in Eukaryota, Metazoa, Mollusca, Cephalopoda, Sepiida, Sepiidae.